Molecule: long non-coding RNA, 249 nt
Organism: Melopsittacus undulatus (budgerigar)
Lineage: Eukaryota; Metazoa; Chordata; Aves; Psittaciformes; Psittaculidae
Exons: 3
Source: RefSeq, a predicted model, not a curated record
AGGAAAGAACAUUAUAAAGGCGAAUGAGAGACGUGGGGACAUUGGGAAGACUCCAUUGUAACUUCUGGGGUCAGACAACAGCCAGAACCUGUCUUCUUCGCCAUAGAGAUGCUUGUUGGGUAGGUGAGGACUGAAGACUGUCAGGGUCUGAGUACCACAAUGGCUAAUCAGAUGUGAAGAUAAAUCAUGCUUGAACAUCUUUCACUAUGCAAAGCAGCACUUGGUUUGUAUGGGGACAAAGGAGAAAUC